CAUUGCAGUUGGCUGAACCUUGUGUCAACCAUCCAUUCCAGGAGCCAGCUAUCUGAGGUGACUUUCUUCCACCCCCACCUCCACCUCUAGAUGAUUCCAGUGCCCUUCCAUCUAUUUCUGGAAACUUUCCUCCUCCACCGCCUCUUGACGAAGAGGCUUUCAAAGUACAGGGAAAUCCCGGAGGCAAGACACUUGAGGAGAGGCGCUCCAGCCUGGACGCUGAGAUUGACUCCUUGACCAGCAUCUUGGCUGACCUUGAGUGCAGCUCCCCCUAUAAGCCUCGGCCUCCACAGAGCUCCACUUGUUCAACAGCCUCUCCUCCAGUUUCGACCCCAGUCACAGGACACAAGAGAAUGGUCAUCCCGAACCAACCCCCUCUAACAGCAACCAAAAAGUCUACAUUGAAACCACA
RNAcentral lists this small RNA (412 nucleotides) under Pongo abelii (Sumatran orangutan). RNAcentral's name for it is "processed transcript". Lineage: Eukaryota; Metazoa; Chordata; Mammalia; Primates; Hominidae. The record is from RNAcentral.